UACGGGGGGGGCAAGCGUUGUUCGGAUUUACUGGGCGUACAGGGAGCGUAGGCGGUUGGAUAAGCCCUCCGUGAAAUCUCCAGGCUUAACCUGGAAAGUGCAGAGGGGACUGUUCAGCUAGAGGAUGGGAGAGGAGCGCGGAAUUCCCGGUGUAGCGGUGAAAUGCGUAGAGAUCGGGAGGAAGGCCGGUGGCGAAGGCGGCGCUCUGGAACAUUUCUGACGCUGAGGCUCGAAAGCGUGGGGAGCAAACAGG
This 253-nucleotide ribosomal RNA is filed under the name uncultured bacterium. RNAcentral describes it as "partial 16S ribosomal RNA". It matches the Rfam family "Bacterial small subunit ribosomal RNA", at positions 524 to 776 of the family's 1533-position model. The record is from RNAcentral.